GGAGGUGGAAGAAGAGGAGGAUGAGGAAGAUGAGACGAUAGUGGACGAUAGCCCUGACGGAGGGUGUUUCAGUACCCCCCGGAUGCAGAGGGGCAAUGGGCGUGGUGGUAGCAGUAGUUCAGGGGAGGACCUCCAGAGCCGGACCCCCUCUCCAGACGAGAGCCUGGGGGAGGAAGAGAUGGAGAAGAUGUCGUCGGUGGACACGGAAGAUGGAGAAGAUCAGGAUGUGGAUAGCAGUCUGGACAGCAGUGUGGGGUCAUCCUGAAAGAGAGGUUGGCUGAGUUGAACAGUGGCGAGGAGGAGUGGAAGGCCAAGCUGAAGAAGCCCAAGGAUCUGGUGCAGAAGUCCCUGGCUGACCGUUUCAACCAGCUCCAGGACUCUGGAGAUGCCUGGAAGAAGAAGAAGUCCAGUGCAGACGUGGG
Long non-coding RNA from Coregonus clupeaformis (lake whitefish), 422 nucleotides. RefSeq lists it as uncharacterized. Lineage: Eukaryota; Metazoa; Chordata; Actinopteri; Salmoniformes; Salmonidae. The record is from RefSeq and is a predicted model, not a curated record. The transcript has 4 exons.